UGAUCGGAUCGCUAGUGUUUGCUAGGCUCCGUGCUCGUGCAUCGAACUGCUUACCACCUAUCCUUCUCAGUUGUUUCACGGGCUUAGCUAUGCUCGAUGAUCUGAUCCGGGGCCUGUGUGUCAUACCUAACUAGAAGGCAUUAUUGAGUGCGGUACACAAAGAUGGUUUUGCGACUUAUCCUUCGCGGGUGAUGUCGUGAACCCAAAGACUGUCGCUUGUUUUCCUUUCGAAGUGGCAACUGCGUUGCCUUGUUCGCAUCGGGGAAUAAGUUGUCGGCUGAAAUUUCGGAUGCAGAAAAGUUAAAGACGGUGACUCGAAGCGAUUCAGUCCCGGCAAAGCACAUCUGUCCCUCGGGAAAAAGAUGACGGUCAAGACCUCGUCCGUUCUUUCAUUCCUUAGCGUUUGCUCGAACGUGGCGAGGAAUUGCCGUGAUCGAUGAUUGCUACCUGGUUGAUCCUGCCAGUAGUCAUAUGCUUGUCUCAAAGAUUAAGCCAUGCAUGUGUAAGUAUGAACGAAUUCAGACUGUG
This 528-nucleotide unclassified non-coding RNA is filed under the name Lepidium flexicaule. RNAcentral's name for it is "contains external transcribed spacer and 18S ribosomal RNA". The stretch from base 445 to 528 matches the Rfam family "Eukaryotic small subunit ribosomal RNA", at positions 1 to 83 of the family's 1831-position model. Lineage: Eukaryota; Viridiplantae; Streptophyta; Magnoliopsida; Brassicales; Brassicaceae. The record is from RNAcentral.